Long non-coding RNA from Capra hircus (goat), 412 nucleotides. RefSeq lists it as uncharacterized. Lineage: Eukaryota; Metazoa; Chordata; Mammalia; Artiodactyla; Bovidae. The record is from RefSeq and is a predicted model, not a curated record. The transcript has 3 exons.
CUUUCAGCCUAAGGACAAGCGGAGUUCGUAGGACUGGCCAGAAUCAACCACCUGGUCUGUGGUUGAACUGGACGGGGCACUAAUAUUUUUAUCAUAGCAUACCACCUCGGUAAUAUCAACUCACAACUUCUAGAAGAUAGAAAAUCAAGUAAUAGUUUCUUGGGUAUCUAAAAACUUCAGGAAUGAAAAAGCACAACAAAGCAGAAAAGGUUUUCAGAGGAUUCCAAGAAACCCAAUCUAGAGAUGAGGCUCUAAAGCAAGGCAGAGUGUAGUAAGGGAUAAGCUGGUGAUUUUUCAAAGAUGCUUGGUUGACCCGGGGUGCACAGUGCUGGUGCCACCUCUGGGCAGGACCUGGGCAGGUCAGAGCUCCCUUGUUUAGGGGCCAGAUGUUUCCUGUGGAAAGAAACUUUUA